This 68-nucleotide transfer RNA is filed under the name Marmota monax (woodchuck). RNAcentral describes it as "tRNA.Ala". The record is from RNAcentral. Lineage: Eukaryota; Metazoa; Chordata; Mammalia; Rodentia; Sciuridae.
GGAUUGUGGCUCAGCGGUAGAGCGCUCGCCUAGCAUGUGCAAGGCGCUGGGUUCAAUCCUCAGUACCA